GCUCGACAUAGGGCAAAGUGCUCAGAGGAGCUGAAGGCUGAACUUUCAGCCUUUUCACUGACCCCCAAAGCACUUUGGGCUUCUCUGAGGACAAGCCUGCUUCUCGAGGAACCGCAUUAUAUUAUCUGCUGAGGGAAGUUGGAAACACCAGAGACGGGGAAAGCACCAGGCGUGCCCGGCCCUGCAGGGAGCAAUGCCACCGAAGGAGAGGAAAUGUUACGUUUCCAAAGGCAAGAGCUUCACCCAGGACUUCAUCGGGGAGUUAGCUGUGUUGUGCACAGGGCUGAAGAGCGACAGUGACUUCUGGAGAACCCGAGGAUUCAGAAAGAACAGAGAAGGUGACUCAAUUAUUGGAGCAGCAGAAGUGCUCAUCGGUCUCGUGAAACUGAUGGAGAGAGUGCAGGAUCAGCACUUAACAAGGCAGGAACUCCUGACUAACCAAGAACCUGGGUGUUGGACUCCUGAAUCCUUUCCUGCCUCCUGAGCCUCUGUCUUAUUGCACCUGAUACCCUUGCAUUCCAACUCCGGACUUCUCAAGUAGGAUUCCACAGCUUUCUGAAGGCCUGGAUUCUGCGGAUUUGGGGAUCUAACUUCCUACCUGGUCUGUGACACACACCAUUAUCCAAAGCUCAUAACAACAAUGAGAAAGAACUGUAGCCAACUUUCCAGGAGCCAGAGCAUUGCAUUUUCCCCUACUAUAAACUUCCCUGAGAAAGAAUAAAUGGGUACUUUCUUUCUGCUGGAGAUGAAACUGCCCUUUCUAUUACUUUUGGUACAUUUUUUUACCUUUUUUUUUUUUUUUAACCUUCU
RNAcentral lists this long non-coding RNA (810 nucleotides) under Mustela putorius furo (domestic ferret). Its description in RNAcentral is "lncRNA (ENSMPUG00000027946.1)". The record is from RNAcentral. Lineage: Eukaryota; Metazoa; Chordata; Mammalia; Carnivora; Mustelidae.